CCUACGGGAGGCUGCAGUGGGGAAUAUUGGACAAUGGGGGAAACCCUGAUCCAGCAAUGCCGCGUGUGUGAAGAAGGCCUGCGGGUUGUAAAGCACUUUCGGUUGGGAAGAAAAGUUUGGCGCCAAUACCGCCGAACCUUGACGUUACUGCCAGAAGAAGCACCGGCUAACUCUGUGCCAGCCGCCGCGGUAAUACAGAGGGGACAAGCGUUACUCGGAAUCACUGGGCGUAAAGAGGGAGUAGGUGUGUGAAAUCCCCGGGCUUAACCUGGGAACUGCAUUCGAUACUACAUGGCUAGAGUAUGGUAGAGGGAAGUGGAAUGUCCGGUGUAGCGGUGAAAUGCGUAGAUAUCGGAAGGAACACCAAUGGCGAAGGCAGCUUCCUGGACUAAUACUGACACUGAGGCACGAAAGCGUGGGUAGCAAACAGGAUUAGAUACCCGUGUAGUC
Molecule: ribosomal RNA, 450 nt
Filed under: uncultured bacterium
Lineage: Bacteria
Description: partial 16S ribosomal RNA
Rfam family: Bacterial small subunit ribosomal RNA
Source: RNAcentral